Molecule: small nuclear RNA, 116 nt
Filed under: Symbiodinium microadriaticum
Lineage: Eukaryota; Dinophyceae; Suessiales; Symbiodiniaceae
Description: U5 spliceosomal RNA
Rfam family: U5 spliceosomal RNA
About the family: U5 RNA is a component of both types of known spliceosome.
Source: Rfam by way of RNAcentral
AUUACAGCGUGCACUUCAUAGCGCACCAAUCUGUCGCCUUUUACUAAAGGUUGCCGUGAAUGGGACGCAUCAAUGUGACUCACACAAUUUUUGGGCGGUCCACUGCUUCCAAAUCC